Molecule: ribosomal RNA, 2705 nt
Filed under: Enterobacter ludwigii
Lineage: Bacteria; Pseudomonadati; Pseudomonadota; Gammaproteobacteria; Enterobacterales; Enterobacteriaceae
Description: bacterial LSU rRNA
Source: RNAcentral
AGCGUACACGGUGGAUGCCCUGGCAGUCAGAGGCGAUGAAGGACGUGCUAAUCUGCGAAAAGCGCCGGCGAGGUGAUAUGAACCUUUGACCCGGCGAUGUCCGAAUGGGGAAACCCAGUGUGAUYCGUCACACUAUCGUUAACUGAAUACAUAGGUUAACGAGGCGAACCGGGGGAACUGAAACAUCUAAGUACCCCGAGGAAAAGAAAUCAACCGAGAUUCCCCCAGUAGCGGCGAGCGAACGGGGAGCAGCCCAGAGUCUGAAUCAGCUUGUGUGUUAGUGGAAGCGUCUGGAAAGUCGCACGGUACAGGGUGACAGUCCCGUACACGAAAGCACACAGGYUGUGAACUCGAAGAGUAGGGCGGGACACGUGGUAUCCUGUCUGAAUAUGGGGGGACCAUCCUCCAAGGCUAAAUACUCCUGACUGACCGAUAGUGAACCAGUACCGUGAGGGAAAGGCGAAAAGAACCCCGGCGAGGGGAGUGAAAAAGAACCUGAAACCGUGUACGUACAAGCAGUGGGAGCCUCUUUAUGGGGUGACUGCGUACCUUUUGUAUAAUGGGUCAGCGACUUAUAUUCUGUAGCAAGGUUAACCGUAUAGGGGAGCCGAAGGGAAACCGAGUCUUAACUGGGCGUUAAGUUGCAGGGUAUAGACCCGAAACCCGGUGAUCUAGCCAUGGGCAGGUUGAAGGUUGGGUAACACUAACUGGAGGACCGAACCGACUAAUGUUGAAAAAUUAGCGGAUGACUUGUGGCUGGGGGUGAAAGGCCAAUCAAACCGGGAGAUAGCUGGUUCUCCCCGAAAGCUAUUUAGGUAGCGCCUCGUGUACGAAUACCGAAGAAUGUUAUCACGGGAGACACACGGCGGGUGCUAACGUCCGUCGUGAAGAGGGAAACAACCCAGACCGCCAGCUAAGGUCCCAAAGUCAUGGUUAAGUGGGAAACGAUGUGGGAAGGCACAGACAGCCAGGAUGUUGGCUUAGAAGCAGCCAUCAUUUAAAGAAAGCGUAAUAGCUCACUGGUCGAGUCGGCCUGCGCGGAAGAUGUAACGGGGCUAAACCAUGCACCGAAGCUGCGGCAGCGACACUAUGUGUUGUUGGGUAGGGGAGCGUUCUGUAAGCCGUUGAAGGUGUCCUGUGAGGGGUGCUGGAGGUAUCAGAAGUGCGAAUGCUGACAUAAGUAACGAUAAAGCGGGUGAAAAGCCCGCUCGCCGGAAGACCAAGGGUUCCUGUCCAACGUUAAUCGGGGCAGGGUGAGUCGACCCCUAAGGCGAGGCCGAAAGGCGUAGUCGAUGGGAAACAGGUUAAUAUUCCUGUACUUGGUGUUACUGCGAAGGGGGGACGGAGAAGGCUAUGUUAGCCGGGCGACGGUUGUCCCGGUUUAAGCAUGUAGGCGGAGGUUCCAGGUAAAUCCGGUUCCUUGUUAACGCUGAGGUGUGAUGACGAGGCACUACGGUGCUGAAGUAACAAAUGCCCUGCUUCCAGGAAAAGCCUCUAAGCAUCAGGUAACAUCAAAUCGUACCCCAAACCGACACAGGUGGUCAGGUAGAGAAUACCAAGGCGCUUGAGAGAACUCGGGUGAAGGAACUAGGCAAAAUGGUGCCGUAACUUCGGGAGAAGGCACGCUGAUAUGUAGGUGAAGCCCCUGCGGGUGGAGCUGAAAUCAGUCGAAGAUACCAGCUGGCUGCAACUGUUUAUUAAAAACACAGCACUGUGCAAACACGAAAGUGGACGUAUACGGUGUGACGCCUGCCCGGUGCCGGAAGGUUAAUUGAUGGGGUUAGCGGUAACGCGAAGCUCUUGAUCGAAGCCCCGGUAAACGGCGGCCGUAACUAUAACGGUCCUAAGGUAGCGAAAUUCCUUGUCGGGUAAGUUCCGACCUGCACGAAUGGCGUAAUGAUGGCCAGGCUGUCUCCACCCGAGACUCAGUGAAAUUGAACUCGCUGUGAAGAUGCAGUGUACCCGCGGCAAGACGGAAAGACCCCGUGAACCUUUACUAUAGCUUGACACUGAACACUGGUCCUUGAUGUGUAGGAUAGGUGGGAGGCUUUGAAGCGUGGACGCCAGUCUGCGUGGAGCCAACCUUGAAAUACCACCCUUUAAUGGCUGGUGUUCUAACGUAGACCCGUGAUCCGGGUUGCGGACAGUGUCUGGUGGGUAGUUUGACUGGGGCGGUCUCCUCCCAAAGAGUAACGGAGGAGCACGAAGGUUAGCUAAUCCUGGUCGGACAUCAGGAGGUUAGUGCAAUGGCAUAAGCUAGCUUGACUGCGAGAGUGACGGCUCGAGCAGGUGCGAAAGCAGGUCAUAGUGAUCCGGUGGUUCUGAAUGGAAGGGCCAUCGCUCAACGGAUAAAAGGUACUCCGGGGAUAACAGGCUGAUACCGCCCAAGAGUUCAUAUCGACGGCGGUGUUUGGCACCUCGAUGUCGGCUCAUCACAUCCUGGGGCUGAAGUAGGUCCCAAGGGUAUGGCUGUUCGCCAUUUAAAGUGGUACGCGAGCUGGGUUUAGAACGUCGUGAGACAGUUCGGUCCCUAUCUGCCGUGGGCGCUGGAGAAUUGAGGGGGGCUGCUCCUAGUACGAGAGGACCGGAGUGGACGCAUCACUGGUGUUCGGGUUGUCAUGCCAAUGGCACUGCCCGGUAGCUAAAUGCGGAAGAGAUAAGUGCUGAAAGCAUCUAAGCACGAAACUUGCCCCGAGAUGAGUUCU